RNAcentral lists this ribosomal RNA (271 nucleotides) under uncultured bacterium. RNAcentral's name for it is "partial 16S ribosomal RNA". It matches the Rfam family "Bacterial small subunit ribosomal RNA", at positions 28 to 292 of the family's 1533-position model. The record is from RNAcentral.
GAUGAACGCUGGCGGCGUGCCUAAUACAUGCAAGUCGAACGAGGUGCUUUUGUAGCAAUACGAAAGUAUCCUAGUGGCGAACGGGUGAGUAACGCGUUGGUGACCUACCCCAAAGUGUGGGAUAACAGUCCGAAAGGAUUGCUAAUACCGCAUGUGGUUAUCGGGUUUAGAAACCGAUAACUAAAGGAGCAAUUCGCUUUGGGAGGGACCUGCGUCCCAUCAGCUAGUUGGUGAGGUAAUGGCUCACCAAGGCUACGACGGGUAGGGGACC